GGUACACACAUGUAGUCCCUUCUGCUCUGGAGCCUGAGGCAGGGGGAUUGCUUGAGUCCAGGAAUUCUGGGCUAUAGUGCGUUAUGAUGAUCAGGCGUCUGCACAAAGUUUAGUAAAACUAUGGUGUCCACCAGGAGCAUGGGACCACCAGGUUGCCUGGGGAGGCAUGAACCAGCCCAGGUCGGAAGCGGAAGAGGUCAAAAAUUCCAUGGUGGUCAUUAAUGGUAUUAGGCCUGGGAAUAGCCCCUGCAUGCCAGCCUGGCCAUCACAGCUGAGACCCUGCCUCUG
Callithrix jacchus (white-tufted-ear marmoset) is the source of this 288-nucleotide unclassified non-coding RNA. It matches the Rfam family "Metazoan signal recognition particle RNA". Rfam says of the family: The signal recognition particle (SRP) is a universally conserved ribonucleoprotein. It is involved in the co-translational targeting of proteins to membranes. NCBI's taxonomy places the organism in Eukaryota, Metazoa, Chordata, Mammalia, Primates, Cebidae. The record is from Ensembl.